CGGCGCAGCCUCAGCUCAACUCCGUGUUGAUGGAUGCUUGCUGGCUUUGUUAGUUAACUCCGUGUUGAUGUGAUGUUUCUACUCUUCUUGUGUUUGGAUGGUUGAUUUAAGAAGUGAAGGGCAAAGAAUGUAGGUGUAGGAUAUGGCUGUGGGAGGAUUUAGAAAGUGUUCAUUUGUAAUCAGUGUGUUGUCUUUUGAGUUGCUGUUUAUGGUGGGGAAAAGAAAAGAGUGCAGCUUAGCUUUGCUGGGAAAAUCAUCAUCUGGUCACUGCUUGCUUCUUUGUCUUGCUGCUGCUUUACUAUUGUCAAGAUUGUCUCACAGUGAGCCAAGGUGUGAUUGUUAUGAUAGUUGUAAUCAACAUUCUAUCACUCAUGGAGAGUUUGUUAUGGAUGGCCCUUGCGUAACUAUCAACUGGGUACUUUGAAUUUCACAGUUGCUGCAGGAAUUGAACUAUCAACUAGUGCUGUGAGUUUUACAGUUGCUGCACCAAUUGAACUAUCAACCGGGCACUGUGAGUUUCACAGUUCCUGCUGGAAUUGAACUGUUUGUAGUAUGAAUUCCUAUGGAAUUCCUGGGCGCCACAGAACACUGCCAUUACACUACUGAAGACGAGGGACGGCUGAACAUCAAUGAGGGCAUGAAAGUUGCAAGCUGCGGCUGUAACUAAUGUCACUGGAUACGAUAUCUGUUCUUCUCAACCUUGAACUUUUCCAUUCCCUCCGCCCCGUAGGGUGUAUAGGGCGGGGUGCGGGUGCUCCUAGGUCGGUAAUUUGAUUGACUAACCAAAUAUAUAUUUGUGAUGAAAAACAUAUGUUUAGAAGCUUCAUCUUGUGUAUGAUUAUAAUGAUAUGCUUUUCAUGACAUACAAUUUGAUUAGUCAAAUCAACGACCGUCCUAUGCGCCGGACCUGAGGGAGGGUGUGAAUUCACGAGGGUUCAGAACAAAAGCACCAUAGCCAGAAGAUAAGCCUCAUGGAAGAAACGAACCUUUGUGCUGCCUGUAAACCUGCAACUGCACACCCUACACCUGCAGCGGCCAUAAGGACUCGACAUAUCAAAUUUGAAAUCUCGGACAGGUGCCAUGUUUUCUCGCAUGACAAAAGCGGAAAACCAAAGGCAACCACUCCAUCGGAAUGGAACAUCACCAGCUAACAAGCCAACCAAACAUGAACUAACAGGCAUAAUGUAUAUCGCCAAUGGUUGCAGAUAAUUCAGGUCCAACUGCUUAGAACUCAUCAGAGCAAGCAGAGUACACAACUUUGCCAACAAUUCUGACUCAAAAUUCGAUAAAACUUCAAAGCUAAAGUCAACGGUAUAAAACCCACCAGGCCGGCUGAUCACGGGAUAAUUCGGAACAUAGGUUCAUUCCUAAGGUAAAAGUGAUGUCAUCAUGGUCUGAUGGGAGGUAUGACAACAAGGAGACUAUGUAACUUUCAGAAGUCGCAGCCUUUCAGUGUCUUUGCCUGUAUCUUCUGUAUGUAUCAUGGAAAUUCGCUAGCAAAAAACUGAAGUCACAGCAACCCGGCAGAAUCAGUAAUAGGGAUAGAACCUGGGUGACCUCCUGAACCUGGGUGACCUCCUGCAGAGAAAAACAGAACAUCAGAAAGGUCAUCCUGGGAAUUCUGUUUGAAUUUCUCUCAUCUUGGGCCCCAUUUUGGAUUUUUGGUAACCUCAGGAAAAGAGGAGAUCCCAGGGAAUAAAAGUUCGCCUGAAUGUUUGGUGCACAACUAGUCGGAUGCAUUAGAAGAAUGGCCUCCGCAUGUCAUAUUCUUCGAAUCCUUUCAUUUACUUUAUAUUAUAUACAGUUUACGAUUGAAAUUCUGCUCUAUUCAAACAGAAGUACUGGGUUGGUUUUGAUUAGGCUUAGGCAAAAUUUCCAAUGAAAUCAGGAUAAACCAAAAUUAAGCUGAAAAGAUCAAUAUCUAGAAACAGUCGCUAAAAAAUGAUUCACCUAGAAAAAUUCACUAUAUACGGGCUGAAAUGUGUCUUUAUAUAUCCAAUUCAGAAAGAAGUUAGAACAUCUUAUAUUUGUGAACGGAGGGAGUACUAAAACAGCAGAUGAGAAUGCCAUAAACCUCAGGAAGAAAUGGGAUGGUAAAAUCAAGAAAGAAAGUAUCAUCUCAGUAGCAGUCAUAAUUUAUUAAAAGUGCUUGCCGAAAUCCAGAUUCUUGGCGUAACAAAUGGCAAUGCAAAACUUUCUGGCUCUGUGUGCUACUGCAUAUUGGAAAGUUCUUCAUGGACAUGCUAGAAGUACACUUUAGGAUAAGAAACAAAACUAGAAGAAAACCUCACAUUUCCAACAUAGAUGGAGCGAGCAUCCACCUCUGCCUUUUCGAGUGCGGUUACCGCUGCAGCUGGAUCUUCUGAAAAAAUAGACCGAAGGAGGAAAAAAGUGUAAACAGAUUGUAGAGUUUAAUGGCUAACUGAAGGCAGAGAGUCCAUUAAAAAUAAUGAAACAACGGCAUGGCAUGGCACUCAUGAUCAGAAAGAAUCAAACGCAAAAGAAAGAAGAUGCCGCCGCUUAGGAUCUUUAAUCAGCAUCUAUGUUUCUAUUUAUAACCAUACUUAUUAAGUAAGUAUGUAAAGGGUGAGGCUUGAAGCAAACACUUAAUCGUGUACACAAUAUCAUCUUUAAAUGCACCAUAUGUGUGCAUUUUAAACCAGGUCAUCUCACAUUUCUCUUUGCUGUCAGAAAAAUAUCAGAAGCAGCAGUAAGCAUGUACCAGUAGAAGAAGAAAAAAAGGUAACAACCAUAAAACCAUGCUUUCCAUAGAACAUGUUCAUCAACUUCAAACCAUCAUCAUGGUAACCUAUUCUUACAGCUUUGGUUAUGAUAUUUUCAAAUGCACCAUAUGUGUGCAUUAUUAUUUCGAAUCAGGUACGUAAGCAGACCCCUUUCCUAAUUUACAUCGUUCAUGAUUGAUUUGGGGCAUUCUUUAGUGUCAUUUGUCUAAAAAAUUACUCCGUUCAGAACUGAAUUCCAUCUGGACACAUCGGUAACAUUUCGGGAAAUGUGGAAUGCAGGAUGAGCUCAAUGACUUGAUGAUGCUCUACAAAAGUGCAAUUGUUGACGCUAGAAAAUAACAUUCUAAUAACCGUCUCCGGAUAGUAAAUGUGACGAGUUGCGAGAAGAAAGAUGGUUUACACUUUACAACAAUUGUAGUAAAUAAUGCUUAGCAACACUAAUCCACCACGUAACCAGGUGAGUCUAAGUAAUGCACCAUUAUUAUACCCCUACUCCAAAAGACAGCCAUGUACGUAGCCCGCCCACGAGGCGCUACGGUCCUGCUUUACGCGUAUAGGGGGCUGCCUAGCCCAUGAUUAGGUGCCGACAUCACCCCCGCUGCCUGGCUAUCACCUUAAACACUGUAACAAUCCUUACCAAAGCUGUUCAAAUGCAUAUUACUGGUACAACACAAAUCAACAGAGCAAUGAAAUGAACAAACACACAAUGCUGAAAAGAUGCACUCACCCAGCACCUACAAGUACUCGAAGGCAGCAACUAUUCCGACAACCAACCACACAGAGGUCGUCAGAAACGAAGAAACUAGGAGCCUGUUGACUGGAAAGUGAAGAUCAAACCGAUCACCUAGUGUCAGCGAUUCCACAUCGAGAGUAGCACAAAUCUAAUCACAUGAAUGACGCCCAAGUAACAAGGCGCUCGGGAUCUCACGUGCAUCCAACCAAUUUCACUCCGGGCAACCACCAAAGACGAAACAAAGCGCUAAUUACACGAGCAGAAACGGAGAGGGUGGUGGCGACUAGACAGAUUACCAUGCGUAGCGGCGGCGGCGACGGCUAGCAUCUCGCGCUCGGUCUCCUCCAACUCCCGCAGCCUCCUCCGCAUAUCAUCGAUCUGCUGCACAUCACCAUACCGUACCCUAUCCUCGUUAGCACCCGACGCCACGAACACCGCAGGCGCUCAAACCCUCGAAACGCGAGGCAAAGAGGCUACGCUGCAAGCUGUAACACACGCACGCACGCGAACCUGGUCCACGGAGGAGCGGUUGCGGUUGAAUCCGUCGCCGCUGCCGCCGUUCCCGCCCUCGCCAUUGCCUCCGGCGGCAGGGAGGACCUCGCCGUUCUCGAUCGGGAGUGCGCGAUUGCCCGAGGCCAUCUCGCCGCCGCCGCAAGUGCUGGUUCGCUUGGUGCUCUCCCUCUUCAGUUACUUUUGUCUUGGUGAUGACUAGCUCCUGUUGCCUCUUUUGGCGUGGCUUGGUUGGUUGGAGAGUACUUGUACACUUCAGACGGGAAAGCGAGUGGAAGAUCCCACGGUUCUGUGUCUACAGAUGUCAGAUCGGACGGUCGGUUCGACCCACCCUAAAAAAUGGAAGGGGGUUGUCGUUUCAAAAUAAAAACCCUAGAGAAAGCACGGUAGAAAAAAAACAUAGGGGAACUGUAAGAGAAAUCCCUAGAGAAAAUAUAAGAAAAUUAUAUUCUUUUCCAGCUAACUUCAUUUUUUUCUUUGAAAUGUUAACUCUAUGCUGACAUAGGGUAGCCGUUGGUUAUAGGAACAUCACAAAUUUCACAACACAAGAGAUAGUUGUCGUGGGGUAGACAACACUAAGCACAACUAAUGCAGGAGAUAUGUGUGUCAAACUGGAAGAUCAUGAGUAGAUCUACAUAUCUUAGUUUUCUCGCAUCUUUGACUUCAAGAAGUCUAGCAAGACUUUGACCAUUGUCACCAUAGUCGCUUUCUUGCGACAACUCCAACAUGGACCUCCUUCGUGAGGUGAUGGUCAUCAUCAUUGGCUAUGGAUCAAAGGCGCUUUAGUCACACAAGGUGGCUUCACGGCAUCACCCCUAUGAGUUACCCCCUCUUCUUUUCUACUUAGUCGACAAAUAUCAGUUAGUAAGGGUGGAGCUCUAAGAUGACAGCCGGAUGCAUUCUCGGUCGUCAAAUUAUAACGACGCUUCAAAUCCAUGACUUUUCUCAUGCAAGCCCAUUAUUACGCACUUGAGCGCUAGAUUUGUCGCAUCUUGAUGAUUGGUGGGACCACAACAUUCAAGCCAUAUGCAAGGAGGAGGGUAAAUCCUUGGCGUAUUUUCGAACAUUUCGGAGGGAGAAACUGACAUUUUUUGGUAUGUCUUUGUCAAUCACUAACGUGGACCAUAAAGUGACGAAGGACAUAAUCAAGAGGGCGUAAUGUUACAGACCAUCUCCAUGAAUGCCAUGAUCAUGCUCGGUUGGGCAUGCUAACUCUUGGAAACUUUAAAACUUCCAGGAAAUUGGUAAGUUUUCCAAGGUUACCGAGGUAAGUUGGUAGUCAAAUCGGUAACCCAUUUUUGGCUUUGCCUAAAUAUUGCCAUGCCAUUUUAUGGAAUCAAACCAAGCGCACCUCAUAAAUAUCAGCAAUGGGGUGUGCAAUGGCGUAUCCGGUGAGUUGAAGAUUAAGUCAUCAGGGAUGGAGGUGGACGAUCUAGAUGGAGUACCCAGAUUGAAUCUACGAGUGUGCUAACUACACUCCAAGGGUUCUUGAAGCGUUCGAAGGACACCUUCCACCUAAGGACAUGCUCUUAUAUGGGGGUCUUGGUUGGCGACCGUCGACCUCCGUCUUGAUCAUCUUGGCAUGCAAUUAUUGGACUCUUCCGUCUUUGGUAGUAUCCUUUUAAUGAAACCAGGGGUGCCACUUCUAAGGGAACCAUCUCCUCAGGCAUGCCCCCCCCCCCUUCCUAAGUGACACACAAAUACAGGAAAAUAUGACCCAAAAUAGCACGUGUGCAACAGAAGAAUGUGGUAAAACCAUUUCCCCUUAAUGGUAACCACAAGUGUAGGGGACCACAACAUUCUUCGUUCGGAAGUAUCGCAACCCAAAUUCAUAUUCGACAAAAGGGGAGUCAAAAUCCACACCUGGAAAUAAAUACUUGCUUUAGAGAAUUUAUUAGUAGAGAAUGCAAUGAAGUGAUUGUUGCUUGAUUGCAAUAGUAACAAAAAGCUGCAAUACCCAGCAAUUGCCAAGUGCAAACUAUCUUUCGAGAGAGUAUCAAUUAGAGAAAACAUAGGCAUGGGGAUUGGUAAACGGAUGUUGCAUGGAUUGAUUCAAUCAUAUAAUAACACAAACGUAGGGUAUAAUUUGCUAACUCAUAUUAUUUAACUCAUAUAGGCACGUAUUCUGUAUAUUGUUGUAUGUGUUUGCAAUGAGAACUUGCACAACAUCUUUUUGUCUUACCCUCCCGUUUCUGUGGGGUUCUCAUGGAAAUUAAGGGAAAUUAAGUUGUUCAUUUUAUAGAACAUCGGAGCAAAGCAUUAACACUUAAUGAAUACAUGUAAUCCUCACAUUAUAGCCAUUCCCAUUGAUAUCCCGAUUAUUUUCACUUCGGGGUUUCCAAUGCAAAACUAUGAAAUGUGCAUAGAACUUGCAAGUAUGACCCAAACACAUAAAUAUUCAUGAAACAAAUGCGGUUCAAAUAUGAAAAUCAUAUCACUCGGGCCCUAGCGAGAAGCAUUAUGCAUAGCAAAGUCAUAACAAUAUCAAUCUCAGAACCUAAAUGACACUAAGCAUCAAACCCUAACAAAUAUGGUAACUAUUAGAUGAUGUUCUCAUCCAAUUUCCAUCCACCUCAUGUGCCUACAUGAGAUUACUCACACAUGGACGGGAGAAACACAGUGGUGAUGAUGAAUAAGGAGUUGGUGAUGUUGGUGAUGUUGAUGAUGAAGAUCUGCUCUCUUCAAAGGUCAAAUCGGCCUCUAGAUAGCCCUCCACGAAGAAGACAAAUUAGCGGUUAUCUUCGCCCCGUAGAAAAUUAGGGAAAAUCUUUAUCGAGUUUUUAGGACGAGAUAUGAUAUAUAGGUGAAAGAGGUCAGCCGAAGGAUGCCUAUGGCCCUCACUCACCCCUUGGCAUGCCCCUAAGCUUGGGUAUGUGGGCCUUGUGGGCAACCCCUUAUGUCUCCGUAUCUCCUUUUCCUCCAACUUCCCCAAAAGUUAUUUUUUACAAUAUUUAUUUUCCUUUAUAAAAAGAUAACACCAAUACAAUUUUUUUAAAACAACGCCAGCCCGGUCAGUUCUUAUUCAAAUUGUGCAAGAUGGAGGACAAAAGAUAGAAGUGUUCAAAAAAGUAUUAAAGUAUCACGGUGGAGAGCGAAGACCGUGAUGGAAGAGAGGAAGGACAAGCAGAGGAUUGUAGUCUUGCAUCCAGGAGAAAAUACUUGCAAUGAAAGUCGAUGAGCAGAUGAUCAAUAGGAAGAUCGAGGAGCACCAAAAUCGUGCUCAUGGAUGCCGCCACGAUGGUUGAAAUGGUGAGACAAUAUGGAAUGUUCUUUAUGGUGGUGCUAGUGGUUGUGAGAAUGAGAGUGCACGAUUUGGUGAAUUUUGAUGAACUAUGUGAUACGUGGCGGCUCUUGAUGAACUAUGUUGGAAUGCAAUGCCUUUUGGAUGACUUGUGUUCAUAUUUGUAGUUGAAUUGUUGAAUGCGGUUGAUGAGCAUAUUCUUAUAGCACUUUUUAUGUAUCCUUUUUACUAAGUAUGUCCCGACUUAGGCUCAUUUGUGGAAUAUAUGAACCCUAAAGGACUAUUUAAAGCAUUUGCUUUACAUUUGCAGGAUGGGUGCGCCAAGGCACCAUAAUCCCUGCUGAUUACACAAGAGACUUAGUCAAGAUGACUAUAAGGACCAACUAGCAAGCUUGUCAGGAGAAGAAGGACCUAAGCGAAAGAUUGACUGAUCAAGUGUGGACUGCCUUGGGUAAUUAAGAUAGCAUCUAACGAUAUCAUUAAAUUCUUGGGUCCCUAGUAUGUCCAUUUUCUUAUUAUAAAUUACUCCUCAUUGUCACUAUUUUGCACAUUAUAACUCAAUUCUAAUAGUUUUUCCUCUCGGUUUCCAUGAUUUACUAGAGGAUGAGAAUUGCUGGAAAGCUGCAGAACAUGAGCAAAAUAAGGACGAGUGGAGAAAAGAAUUUUCUAGAGACCAAAUAAUUACAAGAAAGUUAUAUUAAAUACUUUCAACAUGGAAGUGAGCCAGGGGCACCUGGGCCCACUUGGGAAGACCCAUGCAGGUCCCACAUGGCCACGCCUGAACGCUUGGUGUGGGUGCGUGGGGCCCACAGGUGGCUUCCCAGUUGCCUUUGGUGCCCAAUGGCCCUACGAAAGUGUAAUCAUAAUGCCCUUAAUCAUAUUUUAACCUACAAAUUGCUUCGGCAUCCGUCCGCGGGCAUGGGGACCAGUCCACAGACACGGAUGCGGUAGGUGGCCAUCCAUUGUUGCCUGCAUACAUUUUAAGUUGGGUUUCAACUAACCGAACGAUUUUCGUGCAAACAUGGUGGAUUUUCAUCAAAGUUCGGAUAAAAAAUAGCACAAAUCAUCCAUACAUAGCAUGCAAAUAAGUCUAGUACAACAAUAGUUCAUAUUCAACGAGAUUAAGGAUCAUGUCAUCCCACACAUACUGCCCCUUCAACAUCAUCCAACUAUGCAUGUGCAUAAAUGGUCGUACCUCCAUCCGGUGGUACAUCACGGCAGCACGUGAGGGCUAGAGCAUGUGUAGAGCAACAUUGAAUGAAUGAAUCAAUCAAUCAACAAAUUAAGCAAGAAGAAGCAAAACUUACGAUCUCCUCUAUCAUGCGCAAUGGCCACUUUGCCUCCAGCAUAUCAACCGUGCCACAAAACUUGGUGAUGGAGGUCUGGAUGGCGUACCAUCGAUACGAUAACAACCUCACAUUGCGAUCAUGGAUGAUGUGCAUGUCGUAGGGUGCAAUAUUCAUGCACUUGUUGCUAGAAGGUCCCCCCUCUGUUCCUGCCUACGAAACCCACGGAUACGUCCAACCACCAUCGCACAAGAACUCAUCCUCCAUGGUUGAGUACCCCUCCAUCCUUCAUACUCUAAGAAAACGACAUGGUGUUCGAAAAUAACCUCAAUAGCAUUUGCCCGAACACCUACUGGGCGUGGUGACCGCCAUGGACGGCGUCGAUAGGGGGACGGAGUGUACCUGCCUACGGACGUGUCCUGGGUGGACGACGCCGUUGUGAAAGGCGAGUGGGCGCGUCGGUGCUCGUUGCAGAGGUCCGGCAAUGCCUGUGUGCCAAACGGAGAGGUACAACGGCGACGUCAGAGGAGGAGGAGGGUGCGGAUGUAAAAAAAGGGGGAAGAUUGGAAGAAAAUGGGACCGGGAGGGGGGAUUUAGUGGGCUGGGGGUGUUGGAGUCCUACGUGGCUGUUGUCCAGACUCCGGCAAAGCCUCCUCCCUCCCCCCAAAACUUUGUCUCCGUUUUACAUGAAAAAGUGCAUCCGAACUGCCGAGCGCACUGAUACAGGCCCACGUUAGAUGACACCACACAUCCGGACCGCACGGUCCAAACGUAUACGGGCAGUUUGAGGAUCAGCGUUGGAGAUACCCUUACUUGUUAUCUUACCUGUUUGCACCAUUGAGCUGUAGAUGUGUUUGAGCAUCAAUAAACCCGUCCCUGUGGUGAACUAUGACAACUCAUAUACUUUGCACUGAUCAGUGGUGCAUUUGAAUUGUAUAAUUAUUGUUGAAAUCUUGUGGAAAUAUUUGUGCAACAGGACAAAAGAGAUAAGCUACUAGAAAAGUUACGGGAGUCAAGUUUCAAGGGGAGGGUUGGGUGUAACAACCUUUAACUCCUCCAAAUUCGAGGAGUUGAGUUUGGAGUGUCUUUUGAGGACAUAAAUUUUAGGCCAAUGCUAGGCGUCGGUCGACCGGCCCAGAUUUCGGCUGAUCGUUGUGCGUGCGUUGGAUUGAUUGCUUCCACGCAGUCUGAUUUGGUCAAUGAUUCGUUCUUCCCCCUUCGUCCACCUCGCCCACCACCACCACACCCCCUACCAGCAAACUGCAUAUGCGCGUGCGAGGGCUCCACUGUCAUUCAUCCAGCGCGUCGGGUCGUCGUCGUCGUCCGCCUCAGUGGGUGCCGUCACACACAGUCGUCGGAAGACUCGCGUGCCGCGCGUGGUCCCUGCAUGAAGCACCGCAACCCUUCCCCUGCUCGCGCAUCUCCCGCCGCCAGUCGAAGCCCCCGACCAUCGCCUGUUGCAGCGCCACUAUGAAACGGUUGCAGCUCCACUGUUGGAUGCAACUUCGCCAGUGAGGGUUGCAACUCCCACCCACGUUGGCUGCAGCCUUUUCUGCCGCCCCGCUGGUUAAAGCUUUUUCGUCGCUCAAUGGAUGUAACCUCGCCGGCGGCUAGUUCCAGCACUGCUUGAUACUGGUUCCAGCAAAAAAGAUCUCGCCAGCAGCAAGCAAACAUUCUUGCUGGUUCGAGGCUUCCAGCAAAUUUUAUUGCCGGUCCCAGCAAAAUGAUCCUCGAUGCCAUCUGGUUCCAGCAUUGGUCCACGGUGGUUGCAGCUUUUUCGCCAGGUGGCUCCAGCAAAAGAAUAUCUACAGUUGCAGCAUCGGAGCUCGCCGUUUCCGUCGGCAGCGGUGGCUGCUGGUUGUAGCAAAGCAUCAGCCGCCGGUAGGCGCCGACACUAGCCGUUGCAGCACCGUGCUCCACCCUGUCGCAGCUCUGGUCAUCGUCGAGCAGCGACAGAUGCAGCUGAGAGAGAAAAACGAGGGGAUGGUGCUGGCUCGACGGUUGGCUUUGUGGUGCUCACCGGAGAAGACAGCGAAAGAGAGGAGGAGGAGAUCCCUCGGGCGCAACAGAGGAAGAAAAAUCGGGCGAGUGGCUGAGAACGACCGCGAGAGAAGAUAAGGCACUUACUUCUCAUAUUGCGUUUCCAAAUUUAAUCAAUAAACCUUAUGUCCAGUCUCAGCAAAUACCGAAUGAGUAAUCGAUUGUCAGGUCUCAUGUAAUCUCUCCGCCCUCACACAAACUGCAUCAAAGAAACGAUGAAAACGAAAGAAACUGAAAUUGAACCAAGCACAAUCCGUACUGCACAAAAACAGCUAUAUCCUAUUAUUUGAGGGAGAUUUUUCCUCGGCAUUUCCAAAAUCAAACGGCACCUAUACUACUACAAAAACUAAAGAAUGUAAAAUUAUGUCCUCUAGCAGCUGAAGAUAGUUCUGCAGGGAAGAAAUCUAAGAUUGAUAUCUUAAGCUUCUACUUUAUAUAUCAGGCUAGUCCAUGUCCUGUCUCUCUUCUUCCUUAGCCUCUCGGCAAUGGCAAAGGCCAGCUCAAGCGACUGCGAUGCGUUCAGCCUGGGGUCGCAGUGCGUGCGGUAGCGGGAACUGAGAUCGUCGAAGGUCACUGUGUUGGAUCCACCAAUGCACUCUGUAACGUUCUGCCCUGUCAUCUCUAGGUGAACCCCUCCGGGGUAGCUCCCCUCUUGCUCAUGGACAUCAAAGAAAGCCCGAAGCUCAGCCUGCGCAGCCAUAUAAAGAAACAGUGAAAAUUCUGAACCAUGCCAUACCAAAGUUGGCAAGUCCGAACAAUGCUAUUGGAUGUCUCAAUCGCAUGUGGUUCCAGAAAACAACAGUCCAUGUCUCAUUGUAACAAACAGCAUGAAAUACCGACCAUAAGUAGGUUGUUCUAUGUCGAAUCAUGCAAAAAGUUAUCACGCUUACCCGGAUUGCAUCGAAUGAUCUUGUCUUGAGCCCGCAAGGUGCGCUGAUGGUGUUCCCGUGCAUGGGAUCGCUGACCCAGGUGACAAUCAGCCCUGCUUGACGCACGGCUCUGAUCAUAUGGGGGAGCUUGGCACGCAUGUUCUCGGCCCCCAUCCUUGUGAUAAGUGUCAGCCUCCCGGGCUUGUUGUGAGGAUUCAAAAUCUCACAGAGUUUCACAAGCUCCGAUGAAUCAAGCUUAUCACUCACCUGUAUAACAUAGACAGAGUCAUUAGAUUUGUCAACUGAUUUUUUUCCGUCUAAGACAGUCAUAAGAUUGUGACAAAUAAGAUUUAAAAAAAAAA
This 11785-nucleotide long non-coding RNA is filed under the name Triticum aestivum (bread wheat). Its description in RNAcentral is "long non-coding RNA (TAES_LNC006184)". Lineage: Eukaryota; Viridiplantae; Streptophyta; Magnoliopsida; Poales; Poaceae. The record is from RNAcentral.